UCCGGCGGGGGUGGUGGAGGCAGAAACUGACUGAAGGAUGGAGAGAACCCUUGCGGAGUAACGAGGAUAGCCGGAGAUUUCAAGCGAGAGCAAAAGAACGGCAGAAAACACGCGAGAGAUAGAGGAUAUAUGACAAAGAGGAGGAAGGAAGAGCGAGCACGAUGUAUAACGUGGACGAGACGGAGAGGAUCAGAGAAAAAGGAGAUGAAAGGUGGAGCAGAAAGAGAAAGAACAGUCUGGCUAUGUGUGCGUUACGAGAAUCGAAGUGGAAGAAAGAGCAGGAGAUAUAUGGGUAGUGAUGGACUUAAGAGAUCUUGAACCAGACAUCAAUUGAAUGGAACUAUCUCGUAACCUCAAAGAAUUAUUGCAUUGAAAUGGAACACCUUUAUUAUUGAACUGCCCAAUCCUCUCUGUAUCUCUGCAACGAUCCCCUAAUAAAAUAUAGAAGAUAAUUUGAUGCAUACUUUGGUAAUCUAUAUUAAAUUUUCAUCAAAUUAGAUGACAGUAGUCAGAUAUAAUUUAUCAUUCAAGGUUGUUACGAGGGAAGAUUGCUCGAAAACGCAGCAGGGAGAACGAAAUUAUACCUAACGCUCUUGGAUCCAGAAAUGUAGAGACGUAGUGUGAGGUUGGAUAGAUGAGAUUGAUUCGAACCAAUGUCCAAGUUUGAUUUUUUGUUCUGUCUAAAUUUGCGAGUUUAUAAAAUUUGAGUUUACAAUUUUGUAAAGUCAGACGUAUAGAAAUGUAGAAAUUUGGAAAUUUUCAGUUUGGAAUUGAGUGACUCCCGCAAUGGCCUCCUCCCCUGAAGGAUAUGCUCUAUCCCUAUUCCUAGAUUCAUGCCAUCGCUGGAUAGAAAGCAGCGGACUGUGUUGGAGGAAGCGAGAAGAAUGGAACAGGGACAGAUAGAUAACGAUGAAGCGGGAACGAAGUAAGGGGAACGGUGGGGCUGGUAGGGAGGAUAGGAGAAAGAGCGAAAGAGGGAGGGAACGGAGGGCACAGAGGGAGUCGAGUGCAGCGGCCUGGCCGCCUAUACUCUGCGUGACUAUAGGCAGUCCGGCUAGGCUAGAGUCCGCGUAUAAUGUAUUCUCGAAUAUCGUGCACUCUCUCAUGAUCAAUAUAAGCUCCGACGCGGGCCGGAGAUGCACGAAGACCCACCUCCUCCUUCCUCGGCCCGCCCGGACGAUGUUUUUUCGUGCGGAGUGCAACGCACGCUGGAUCGCGGGAACUGCACUCGCUCUUCUCCCCUCUCUUUCACUCCUUCCUCAUUAUCUCCGUUUCUCUCUGACCCGUCGAUUCGUCGGCUCUCGCUCUUUCACCCUCGAUUAUCCGUGACAGUGUCGAAGCGAAAUCGAGGAGGGGACACGACGAUGCAGCGGGAAAGAAUGAAUGUUAUAAUCUUGGGAAUUAUUUAAAUUCUCUCGUUAGCAACUGUUCACGAACGUGUAUGAGAGAAUCGGUGUUCCUCCGGUUAAUGAAUGACGAGAUAAUGCUACCCGUUGCCAGGCAGCUGUUGCAUAGGUACUUUUUACGAUUAACGUCACGGUGAACAGCGGUGCUCGGUUUGUAUACCCGGUAGACUCGAAACUUUUCUACCUGUUGGUUAUUCAUUUAAUACGUCGACGCGUUAUGUGUUCAUUUAUUAGCGAACACGUUUGUAACAGGUACGGAACAAUGGCUUUAACGUAGCAGCGAAGCGUGAUAGACGAGCCGGGGUCGUCCCAAAUGUUCCCGGCAGAGGCCGAGCGAUAUUCACUCAUACGAAUUAAAGUUUGAGCUUACACUUGCCGGACACCUUUGCCAACACUUGGUUCCUCUGCUUAUUGACUCCUGCUGCUCUCCGCAACCCCUUCAUCAACCUUUCGAGAGUAAUGAAGCUUGUGACGACAAAUAUUUAACAUACAUGGGCCUAACCUCUUGGACCCGCUUUAUGAUCCUUCAUCUAUGACGUUCACGUGCAAUUAAGUUUCCUCCCGCAGUUCAUCUUUGACCAAACGAAGGACCUCGUCGAAGAGCCCCUAUUCUGGCAACGAGGUCAAUGUUUUCGAGUAAAUUGUUCACGCUUUAUCAAGGUCUACCAUUGAUCCGUUCGUUGCUUUCGAUCUCAGCCAAUUCCCUUUCCUUUUCAAGAUCAAGAUGCAAAAUGAAGGAGCGGAUCAGUGAAGGGCAAAAGGGCAAGGAGGAAAGGAGAUAACCACUGCACGAAAGGUAGAACUGGCCAGAGAAAGAAAAUUGGUAGAGGCAGGCCCGUGCACGUUCCAGAAAACUGGCCGCCAUGUCGGUCUCCAUCGCCCCCACUACGAAACACGUAUAGCCACGAGAUAUCGUCCGUUGCACUUUUCAAGCUCUCGUGCGAACGCACCGUAUUAUACGUGUGUGCAAGUACGAAGCGUCGAGGAGCUCACACGCAUCCACCAAGCAUACGCGUAGUCGCCGCUCUCCACCCGUGAGAGGAGAGACUGGUCCGUCCGACGUACUGGGAAAUAAAAUUCUCUGGUGACAUUCUGUUGUCACAUCUACACUCAACUUCGUGCUAAACGUUAUGAAUUCCUUCAGGUUGACGUUUCAAUCUUUUAACAUAUUACACACCUCUCAACUAACUCAUUAACUGCCAACUUUUCUAUCUCGUUAACUCAUUUAACAUGCUUUCAGGUUGAUCAGGCAAUUAGCUAACUAUUCGAUACGAAGAUGCUGACGUUGAUAACACUGAAAUGUUACUGCUAACUCGCUGUAUUGAUAAUGUUAUUAAGAUAUCGUUCUAUAAGAUGACUAAAGUAGUAAAGAAUGAUAACAUAUGUCAAAUUAGACUACACGAGUUUAAACAAGGAUACUUUAUCCUUAAGGAUUAUCUUAACAUUAUCAAUGUACCGUUAAGUAUCGAUAACAUGUCGGUAAUUUGUGGAUAGUAAUCGAUAUCGACACCUCUACGUGGUUUCCGUUCCUCUGUCACAAGAUUUCCUUCCACAAACAUGAUCCUGUGGUACAGAAAGAAUUUCGAAUUAUUUGUAGAAGCGAUUCCCCUGAUCUGGCAAACAUGUAACAGAAAAAGAGAGAGACGUCAGUGAAAAUUAGGUAGGGUUAGAACGACGUUGCGGGCGGGAUUUUCGGUGCAUGCUGGCUGAUUUUCUAAGGCGACCUUAGGUGGGAUAACGGACUCUCUCCCACUCGUUGCAACGAGCUGGCAACGCCAUUGGCAAGUGGCAACGCUGGCUGACAGGCCGGUGGGAGGGGUAUAACAGUGAGACUAUAGCAAUGUGGAGUGGGGUCGAUGGUCCCCCACUAGUUACGCCACUGGCAGUGAAUUUCGCACGGGCAAACCAGAACUGCGAAACAGAGACGGAACGCGACAGACCACCAAGCAAAGGGGGUGAGAGAGCGAAGACAGACCGAUAGAGAAAGAGAGAAGGCAGCCAUGUGCGCCUGAGACAGCCUCGACUUUGCAACUAGGAACAUUCGGCUCGUUCUCGUUCCCGUUCUCCUUCGCGCCGAAUUCGUGCUAGCGAGUAAGUACGUUUACCCUGUCGAGCCUCCUUCUACCCUCGUUCAGGCAACCUCUCUACCCAGCAACCUCCCCUCUCUUCCCUUCUUGCUCUGUCUUUCUGUCUCUGUCCCUCCUCUUGCCACCCCCGCGGAAAAGCAAAUUCUCUCCGUGUCACUGAACCCGGCCGUCUGACCCCGUCGUUCGGUUUUUCCGCACGAAGUGCCUCGACCUCGUCCGGAAGUAGGAUGAGCGGACUCUUCUCCCUUGCUCGGUUAUCCGUAUCAGGAACUCGAUUCUAGACAGUUGUCUCGAAUCGAGCCAUUUUUUCCUCCCAUUGCCAUCUAGAAACAAAGUUUCUAGCCAAACCUACUGCCAGUAUCUUACAAUUUUUUCUUUGCAGGAAAACUUGUCACACCGUCCAAAAAGCUCACCUUUAGAAAACAUUGGUCUAAGAGCUAGAAAAUUCUUCUUCUACAUUGUUCGAGUUUCCUGAAAACAUAGGGAGGUAGAUGAUGCGAACCCUGUCGCGUCUGGAACUCGAAUGCAGCUCGCGGUUGAUCGUUUUCGAGACCGAAGGUGCAAGCUUCGUUCCGUCGUUCCGCUCGUUCCUCCGUUCCUUCUGUCCACGUUCCGUCGUCCAUCGGUUCGUUCGCUCGUUCAACCGGCGUCUCACGGCACGCAGUCUGUCGCUGUCACCGACGAAGCUCGCUUGUCGCGCAGCCGUAUGUUCGAAAAACGAGUCAAGUUUUUAUCAGUUACGUUAUUUUUAUUGCAUCUCUCAUUUUUUAGUUUGUAGUGUUUCAAAGUUGUUCGCUAACAUCGAAUACCCAUUCAGGUAAUUCUUCAAAAACGGAUAAGUGUAUAUUCUUCGUUAAUAUCCUUUCAUCAUCGUCCUUCCCGAUUACGUUCCGACGUUUUUUAAUUGUAAAAAUCAUUUUGUUUAUCGAACCGUUUAUUUGUCGAAGCAGUAGAGUUCCUUGCCCUCUCGAGAGCACCAGACAUCCCCUAACCACCUCCAGCUCGAUCAUGGGGUACCAACCUUCGCUCUUGUCAAUUUCCAAAAGAGAUUUUCGUUACCAGAUCAUUUGAUUUCCCCGAAAAUCAUUUCAGAAAAGCCGGUGACCGUGAGACGGCGAGCUUCGCAACCGAAUCGAGAAUUUUCUGGACUCGAGCUUUUCCCGAUACCACUCGCGCGAGUAGAGGCUCUGACUUGCCGCGAUGUGCACGCGUCCGCCGCGAAGAAAGAUGACAUAGGAUCUUCCGACGAAUGGUGACGCGGGUGUCCGGCAAGUGGCAGUGUUUUUCUCUCCAGAAAAUCUGAAAUCGCCGAUUUCCUCUUGAUAGUGUGAGUCGUGCCUCGUAAUACAUGGUGUCGGGUGUGUACGUGUGCAGUACAGUGUCCACACAGUGAAUGGCCGUCGUGUGGAGGCCCCUGUGCUUUUGUGGCAGCCCCGUGGAUAGCUCUAGAAUACCUGGCUACACUUGAUGGGAUAGUCUCCUGUGGACAAAGAUGCGAAUUUCUAUGUCGAUGAAUAUUUGAACGUGAACAAGGAGCUUUGAGAAAGCGUUGGCAGCUCGUAAUUCAAUUUCUCUUUCGAACGAUAAGGAGAGAACGGCUGGAAAUACUCGGAGAGGUAGUCGUGAUAUUCCAUUGUGUCGUGUUUUCCCCAUCAAGGGGCAUUGACAUUGCUUUGUUUCCAGAAACAACAUGUUCUAUUCUUCGUACACUGGGUUACAAGUCGUAAAUGAGAUAACAAUAGAGACAUUGUAUCGAUGGAUUUGUUGCAGCAGGAAUGUUUACAAUUGCCUUUCGAUUAUGACUUUUGAUUUUCAUUUACUUGCAAACUUUCGAACUGGAUAAAUUGUCCGAUGCCCUAUACGUAUGUAUCAUCUAUAAGUUUCACGGACGCCAUAUUGAAAUGGCGCGCAGCAACCUAGUUACGUUAAAUGCAAGCCCUCUAGAACUAGUAAGUUUCAACGGAAUACAUAUAAACUUUGAGUAGUUAAACUAAAAAAGUGCGUAUACAAAGAAAUUGUCGUCUAAUGUGCACCUUUCUUUUAUGAAAAGUAUAGGUUAAUUCUUGGAACUACACACUGCCGCCACUGUACCACGAAUAGAGAAACCUGAGUCAAACUAAUUCUCGAGGCAUUAGUUUCGUAAAAUUCAAGGAAUGAAUUGAUACGGUGCCAAAUAGCCUUCAUUAUUUACGCGAGGUCAAUGACACUGAACCACACACUGGCUUAGGUUGAAAUUUCACUUUGGAAUUAUUGGAAUAUAAACGUAGAGCAAAUUAAGCCUGCAUAAAUUGUGACACAACAUGCGAAAGCAAGAUUUACGAUUCCAAUCUGUUUGCGAGUCGUUUGAUUCCUAGGAUCGCUGAAAAUCUAAAAUAACGAGAUCGAUUGAAUCAACGGCUCUCGACGGAACACGAAUAAAAAAUAACAUAAGGCACAGCUAAAGUAUUGAUAAAUACUUGGUAAUUCGAGAUUUAUCGCUGCACUCCUGGAACUCGAGCACAUUCUCGCUUCGAUAACUUAUCAUCAUGGCGAUUGCUGCUCCCCGAAAGAACUAUCGCAACAAUGAAAACUGGAGGUCGGCAGAAAACGUUGCAGUGUUGCACAACAGCUAGUUUUUUCUAUUUUUUUCAUACCGCUUUUAACCUUUGACGGUCUUCAGUCGGAUGUGUGUAUACGUUCUUUUGAAAUAUGAUCGUAUUUGUUAUCUUCAGUUUAGAACCGGGUAUUAUAUUACAUAUUAGAGCAUCUACAUCUUCGCUCGAUACUUCUUUUAAAUGUAAUCGAUACUCGCUAUUGAGUCAAGAGUAUAAAUGUUCGUGUCGAGUCAAAACCCAUACAAUUUAAUUGAAUGUAAUUCGAUUCGAUUUGACUCGAUAUGAUUCAAUUCCUUGUAAUACAAUUUGGCGGGAAUUUCACUCGAUUCAAUUCUGUCAGAGUUAAUUUACCACGAUUCUAUUCCACCAAAUUCAAUCUGACGCUUUUUAAUUUCGCUCGAUUCAAGUCCACAUUCGAUACAAUUCACCUCAAUCCGGUGUGGUUUGACUGGGUACGUGUUUCAAUUUCACUCGAUUCGGUGCUGUGCAAUUUAAUUCUCCGUACUCUAAACUCCACAAACACUUGCUCACAUUUACCUAUUUGGAAUUGCUUCCCUGAUGUCCAUUUACACUAAACGGCAGGGACUCGCGCUUGUCCUUCUUGCUCAUUUAAUCUAAAUACGCUCUUAUAGAUGUCGGGAGAAGCAUUUAGAAGAAAUGUAGCGACAGAGGAAAGUCUGAGAGAUCGAGAGCAUCGGAACUCGAAUAAAGAAGGUUCCAUGAAGGGACAGGAAACUGAAAACGACAUCCGCGACCAAGAUCAAUACCUCACCAGUGCAAUGCACUCUUGCGUUCCUAGUUACACCUCUAUUGCCCGCGAAAGAGCGUGUGUUGCAAGAGGCAUAACGUUAGAACACCUACAUCUGAAUAACGGAUAAAAUAAAUGAUCCAUCUUCACACGAGACUCUGUAAUUAUUAAUUGAAAGAGCACAAAAAUCGUGCAGGUAGUUAUUCAAGCACUACCGGAAGUAUAGUUAGGUAACGUUUCUUUAAUUCAGUACCUGUUUGACGCAUGGCUAAGGUUGUUUAUUGUUUUCUGACACAGUAGAACGACGGCCAGCUGGCAAGCUAAACAAUUGUUUCUCGGAAUCGUGGAGUCAAAGCGCGGGUGGCGAAGACCCGCGGAAAAGCAAGAAGACAGGAACACGGAAACGGAAACUAGUUCCGGCCAAGAUCAAUACCUAAGUUGUGCAACAGUCUGGCGCAAGCCUUGUGCCUUGGUUGCGUGUGCUCUGUGCGCCGCAUGCUGCGUGCAACGCCUCGUUGCAACCGGUGCAACGUGCAAUGCCACGAUUUGCUGGCAUCACGAGCACACGCUCGGCUAGCCUCAUCUAGCCAGCUGUUGGCUAGGUCAGUGUAAUCGGUAUUAACACCUUGAUUGCCAUGCCGAACACACGACAAACUCAUUAAGUACUUCUAUCGACAACCAGUCUUCAGUCAUUUGUAAAUCCGAAUUUAACGGAGGGUUCUUGAAACCUAAAUCAGAGGUUCAAUUAAUUGUCUAUGCGUUUGUGAUAUAUUGAGUCAUGUAAUCUAUGAGAUCUUGUAGAUUACAUAAGUUAGACUUUGAUAAAUGCAUAAACACUUGCUACCUAUUAAUUAAGUAAACGUAGGAAUAAUUAAUAUGGAUAAUGGAAAUUUAAACAUCACCUAAGUAUAGUUAACGCGUGUACCUGUUAGUGAUGGAACAAAAACAAUACUGAACUUCUACAAUGCAACCUCACUGUCUCAAGUACUCCUUAAGUACUGUAUAGUUCAAACAUGAAUGAUAUCACAUUUACCGAAUGUAAAAAUAGAUACUGAAAGGUUUGAUCAUUAUGAAUGUUUCCUCAGAGCAAAUAGAAGUCUUAUUAUACUAUAGGCAUUCGUUAUAUUGUCAAUUUCCCUAUUUCAGAGUACUGAGAGUUAUAACUGGAACAAUAUCGAAGAAAAAAGUUGCUGGUUCAUCUAGUUUAUUGUCAAGAAUACCUCACUGUAAUUUUUCUCAAAACUUUUACCUGAACGAGGAGACAAGUUUGUGCCUAUUACGAAACUAGUACUUAUGAGAUUAUACUUGCAUACAUCAUUUUCAUUUUAGUUAAUAAGGAUUCUCUUGAGAGUAGUAAUCAGCGGCAAUUAAAAAUGGAGUCACUCCACAUGUGUCAUUAGACUCCAUGAUGCAGAAGCGGUAGAUUAUGAGUUAUGCAAUAGAUGACGUUGCACGAUUUAUAUUUCUGAACUUCGUACAAUUCCUAUUGGCCCAAAUAUCCGAUUGAAAAGUGACGAUCUGAGGUACGUUAUGACCUUGAGAGUUCCAUUAAUUCCGCAGAAUAUUUACAGUACAUUCUCACAUGUGCAGGUCGUAAUUGGACGGAAACUGCUUACACUUUCCGAUGCACAUCGCUCUUGAAAACCAUACUCCUCUUGCGUACACCGAACAAGAUUGUCGAGGUCAGCUUUUAUGACGUAGAUAUGGCUGUGUGACAUUGGCAGUGAGCUUUAAUCUCGUGGUAUCGAGUUACACCUGCUGACCAGUAGCGAGUCUAGGCCAGAUGCGAUUAACGUGACUUACCAGAUUCACAAAUACGAACACGCUAAUUGACGCUGAUUCGUUACAGCCUUUCAAGGCCGUCGCUGAUAAUUAGUUCUGCUCGGAUACCGGUCACUUCCAUCACGCAAUUAUGAAUUAAUUGGAUCAAUGCCUCUUUUUUUCCUUCUUCAAGUACACGCAAGUUCAUCGGACUCGUAUCAGCUGCAUGGUUUAAUGGAGUUACAAAAAACGACAUCCGGCAAUGUUGCAAUAACGGUUAACUGAAAAGCUUGAAUAGCAGCGUUGCAAAUAUAGAUCCUACAGCUAGAUAUGCGGAGGAUAUAAAUAAACGAACGACGGAGAUAACAGUUUAUACGGAGUGGCCUCAAACGAUCAAACUUUACGCGAAGCAUGUUCUUAAAUUUCUGAAUCUUAGAUACACUGGAUCUAUCCAGAAAUUUUUACGCCUGUAAAUUCCGAUACUGUGGUGAAUUGUGAAAGCGAGUGCAGGUUUCUCGACAGGGAUUAACAAAGCAUUAAGUUAUAGAGAGAUAUACAUUCAAAGCGUUAAAUUAUAAGUUUGCGUUUAAAUUAGAUACGUACACCUAUUUGCGUGUAAUAUUUUAUUUUUGCUCGUGAAACGCUGGCGAAGUUUGAUCGUUUUUGUACACCCUGUUUUUAGAUAAACUGUUUCCUUUUCUCUGUCGCCGCGAUCCUAAUUGGAAUAACCGUCACGAGUUAAAUUGUUAUCAGUCGAUAAGCACGUGCCUGUUACUAUUUUUUUCAACAGUGUGCGUGAGACUGAUGUAACUUUAUUGAAAGCUGGCAAUCCUCGUUGUCCUAUUUCUUUAAACUCGACAAUGUUUUUGUGAUAAAGCAAUCUUAUCGCAUCCACUGUAUUCUACGCUCUGGAAGUUAUGUAACCGAGCAGCAGCUGAUAUCAAAGAGUCGAAGAUUGAAAAUCUGACGGAGCGAUAAAGCGCGCGAAUUUUUGAAGUUUGAAAGACCGUCAGUCAACACGUCGUCGUAGCAAUGUCAUUGUUGAUAUCCCCCAGGAGGCCAGCUACCUAUCGUACACACAACACCCAUCCAGGUUCGUAAUUCGUGAGCCCGGAGAAGGAGAGGGAGAGAUUGCUGGCAGUGCACGUUCGAUCUAGCCGGUCUCUAGUAGAACGCAUGCCAGUCAUUGGUCGGUUUGCUCUAUGUGGUGGGCGGAGAUAGGCGUAUGGGAGUACUAAAUCGAGCCAUGGUGUCCCUUUUUUCUAUCCCUUUCUCACCCCCUCUCUCUCGCAUCUCGCUCCCUCCCCGGGCCUACUCCCCUCCCUCUCUCUUUCAUUCACUCCUUCUCCCUCUCUUCGCCGUACUCUCUCUCCCCUCUGUUUCGAUGAUGGGCAUUCAAUUCUCCAACUUCUGCGAGAUUUUCAACAAUUUUCUACGUGUAGAAUUUACCGAAUUCACCGAUCAAUUCUCUCGAAACCACCCCUCUUAUACAUUUCUACAUCUCCACAUUUUCCCUUCGAUACAAUCAAAAAUUUCAGUACAAUUUGUAUUGUUGUAGGUGUAAUUUAGGAGUACCAGUAUCAAUUAAUGUUUGGAGAAGUUUAGUCGAGACCCCGAGUUCAGAGUUUGCAAUUGCGAACUUUAGACCACUUCAGUAAGUUAUGCUGAUAAUUGAAAUUCUCACAUUCGUCCUAAGAUCGCAGUUAUAUUCGUUUUCUUUUAGACGUAGAAUUCCCACGAUACCGUUUAAGAUAGAAUGCAACUGCAUGCAUAAGAACAGAACUUGAAAAUGGAGUAUCCUAGCAGUUCAGUUGCAUCGUUGAUCCAGUCGCUGGAUGCUUCUCGAGCUGCAACCGAAGGCUAAUACACCUUCAGGCCAUUACUGAAUUCAGUCAAAAAACUUACACAAGCAGCCUUUAAACAAAAAUGGAUACAUGUUGGAUUCUAUGCACCUUAGCUUUCAUGAAGAUGAAAAGGAGGAUCAUUAGAAGGAACUAAGACGUUUAGUAAGGAUAGAGUACCUAUUUGCUGCAAUAGUAUUGAUUUUAUAAUUUAAUGAGAAGAACAUUGAAAACAUUGAACACUGAUAAAGAAGGAAUGAAAUUGUAUCUCGAAAGAGGAUGAAGAAAAGGAAGUAGUCAUUCGAUUCGGAAUAUUUAAAAAAUAUCAUCGCAAGAAGAGAAGAGGAUCAGCAGACGCACGAGGUGCAGGAAAGAGUGCAGCUUUUCGUGUAGCGUACAGAAUUCUGGCUCGACUGCUUCUGCAUCCAGGCCCUUCGCCGCCUUUUAGACCUUAAGUUUCAUUCACACCAAACACUUGAAACUUUCUGAUCUCGCAUGUUUACGAAGGAUCUUUGUAUACUUUGAGUUUAAUUUCGUGCUUAAGGUAACACUUUUGUACAUGACGUAUAGAGACAUUAAUAACUUCGCACUAACAUUUUUUAGUUAUUUAGUUAUAAAACAAAUGAACAUUGUAAUCCCUUUUAACAUUGUAAAUCAGAAAAAUUAAAAUUAGAAUUUAAUAAAAAUUUCUUGUUUCAAUAAUAUUCCAAUCUAAGAAUCCUGUCAAGUUACAAGAAGUAGAAUCACUAUUUAAUAAAAUGUAGAAUAUUUGCUGAUUGGUUGCAUCUAUUUCAGGCGUGAAGAAACGUGCAGACAAAUAAUUGGAAGGACCAGAGGCGAUCUAAUCAUAAAGCAUAAUCGGUCAGUUGGAAAUGGUGCCUAACAUCCCUUAGGGCCGCGCAAGGAGAGCUGCAGAGGCCAUUCAACUGUCUACGAUCGAGCAGGCAGGGGACUUUUACAGCGGCCGGAGUCUACCUACUCUCUGAGCUCUCGUAUUCUUCUUGCUCUUCUUCUCUCUCCGUAUCUUCUUCUUCUUCCUCUUCUCCUUCUUCUUCGUCUUGUUUUCUUGUACAGCUUCCUUUUUCUAUGCCCUCCUGAUCUCUCUACCCGGCAAUGGCGUGGCAAGUCAGGGACCAUGCGUGAGAAAGUCGAGCCUAACAUCUUCCAAAUUAUGCUAAAUUUCUGCCCAAUAAUUGAACAGAUAAUUUAGCCGAAGAUGUUCUUAAGUCACGCGCUCAAAAUUUAUGCCCGAUACUUCGUGAUGACUUUCUUCAAACUUUUUAUUUCUACCUCUUUAUCUUACACGAACCACACUUUGUAACUCUGUACAUUGUACUGCUACAUAUUGUAAUAUUAUCACUGAUAAUACUCACGACGCUACAAUGUGUGAAAUUACAGAUGGAAAUUUGUUUGAUACACUCAUUUUGUUCACUCAUUACAUAAGUAACAUAUACAUUUAACUUGAAUAUAAUGAAGAAAGGAUUUCUUCCAUAACACCAAUUUCCAACGAAUUGCCCCUAAUUACACAGCUGUAUCUCAUAAAGUUGUCUAAUCCAUUAAGAAAACAGAUUUCAGCUCCUCUGCUUGAUUUAUUUAACUUAUGGUACUCCCUUAACUUCAUUAACGUUCAUUUCUUAGUGCUUUGACAUUGUUGGAGACAUUAGGGAGUUCUUGUAGAGAUUAAAGUCAUACGAUAAUAUUACCCUUUCACUGUAACACC
Molecule: long non-coding RNA, 12157 nt
Organism: Megachile rotundata (alfalfa leafcutting bee)
Lineage: Eukaryota; Metazoa; Arthropoda; Insecta; Hymenoptera; Megachilidae
Source: RefSeq, a predicted model, not a curated record